UAUCUCUGUAGAGUCUGCAUAUCAAUAAGCGGAGGAAAAGAAACUAACUAGGAUUCCCUUAGUAACGGCGAGUGAAGCGGGAAGAGCUCAAAUUUGAAAUCUUCAAGGUUUUACCUUGACGAAUUGUAGUUUAAAGAAGUGUUUUCUGUUGAGUGUUUCGGUAAAAGUUCUUUGGAAUAGGACAUCAUAGAGGGUGAGAAUCCCGUAUUUGACCAUUACUUUCAGCUGUGUGAUACACUUUCAAAGAGUCGUAUUGUUUGGGAAUGCAGUCCAAAAUGGGUGGUAAAUUUCAUCUAAAGCUAAAUAUUGGCGAGAGACCGAUAGCGAACAAGUACCGUGAGGGAAAGAUGAAAAGAACUUUGAAAAGAGAGUUAAACAGUACGUGAAAUUGUCAAAAGGGAAGCGUUUGACACCAGUGUUGUUUUCUCGAAAAUCAAUUAAAAAAUGCUGAUUUUGUGUUGUAUUGACCUUUAAUCAGCUUUCUUCACUUUUUUCCUGUCUUAUUUUAAUGCACUUUUCGUUUAACAAGUCAACAUCAGUUUCUUUUGUUGUAAAAGGGUCAUUGGAAGGUGGCCUUCUUUUCGGAGAAAGUGUUUAUAGCCUUUGACUUCUGCAAUCGGAGAGAUUGAGGUCUGCAGCGUAGAUCCUUCUGGAUUAGAUUCAUUUGUGCUAAGUUAUAGCCUUUCAUAGACAACUUGUUGACUAUGAUCUGUCAUGUAGCUUACUCGCUUAUGUCAUUUUACCUACGCUUAGGAUGUUGAUCUCUCACAGUCGAGC
RNAcentral lists this ribosomal RNA (777 nucleotides) under uncultured Neocallimastigales. RNAcentral describes it as "partial large subunit ribosomal RNA". It matches the Rfam family "Eukaryotic large subunit ribosomal RNA", at positions 24 to 645 of the family's 3401-position model. The record is from RNAcentral. Lineage: Eukaryota; Fungi; Neocallimastigomycota; Neocallimastigomycetes; Neocallimastigales.